Molecule: ribosomal RNA, 555 nt
Filed under: uncultured bacterium
Lineage: Bacteria
Description: partial 16S ribosomal RNA
Rfam family: Bacterial small subunit ribosomal RNA
Source: RNAcentral
UAGGGAAUCUUCCACAAUGGACGAAAGUCUGAUGGAGCAACGCCGCGUGAGUGAAGAAGGGUUUCGGCUCGUAAAACUCUGUUGUUAAAGAAGAAUAUAUCUGAGAGUAACUGUUCAGGUAUUGACGGUAUUUAACCAGAAAGCCACGGCUAACUACGUGCCAGCAGCCGCGGUAAUACGUAGGUGGCAAGCGUUGUCCGGAUUUAUUGGGCGUAAAGCGAGCGCAGGCGGUUUUUUAAGUCUGAUGUGAAAGCCUUCGGCUCAACCGAAGAAGUGCAUCGGAAACUGGGAAACUUGAGUGCAGAAGAGGACAGUGGAACUCCAUGUGUAGCGGUGAAAUGCGUAGAUAUAUGGAAGAACACCAGUGGCGAAGGCGGCUGUCUGGUCUGUAACUGACGCUGAGGCUCGAAAGUAUGGGUAGCAAACAGGAUUAGAUACCCUGGUAGUCCAUACCGUAAACGAUGAAUGCUAAGUGUUGGAGGGUUUCCGCCCUUCAGUGCUGCAGCUAACGCAUUAAGCAUUCCGCCUGGGGGAGUACGGCCGCAAGGCUGAAAC